This 403-nucleotide ribosomal RNA is filed under the name Verrucomicrobiota bacterium. RNAcentral's name for it is "Verrucomicrobia bacterium partial 16S ribosomal RNA". It matches the Rfam family "Bacterial small subunit ribosomal RNA", at positions 355 to 776 of the family's 1533-position model. Lineage: Bacteria; Pseudomonadati; Verrucomicrobiota. The record is from RNAcentral.
UGGGGAAUAUUGCACAAUGGGCGCAAGCCUGAUGCAGCAACGCCGCGUGAACGAUGAAGGUCUUCGGAUCGUAAAGUUCUGUUGCAGGGGAAGAUAAUGACGGUACCCUGUGAGGAAGCCCCGGCUAACUACGUGCCUGCAGCCGCGGUAAUACGUAGGGGGCUAGCGUUAUCCGGAUUUACUGGGCGUAAAGGGUGCGUAGGUGGUCCUUCAAGUCGGUGGUUAAAGGCUACGGCUCAACCGUAGUAAGCCGCCGAAACUGGAGGACUUGAGUGCAGGAGAGGAAAGUGGAAUUCCCAGUGUAGCGGUGAAAUGCGUAGAUAUUGGGAGGAACACCAGUAGCGAAGGCGGCUUUCUGGACUGCAACUGACACUGAGGCACGAAAGCGUGGGUAGCAAACAGG